Molecule: small RNA, 82 nt
Filed under: Cricetulus griseus (Chinese hamster)
Lineage: Eukaryota; Metazoa; Chordata; Mammalia; Rodentia; Cricetidae
Source: RNAcentral
CUCCCAUCCAAGUACUAACCAGGCCAGAUCUGCUUAGCAUCCAAGAUAAGAGAAGAUAGGGUGCAUUCAGAGUGGUAUGGCC